RNAcentral lists this long non-coding RNA (455 nucleotides) under Ornithorhynchus anatinus (platypus). RNAcentral describes it as "lncRNA (ENSOANG00000050045.1)". The record is from RNAcentral. Lineage: Eukaryota; Metazoa; Chordata; Mammalia; Monotremata; Ornithorhynchidae.
CAUCUCCAGAGAACCUGGGCCAUCUGUGGCCAUCCGUUUUAAAUGGAAGCCUCCAGCCUCCCCAUGCUGAUGUGCCUAGGGGAGCCAACCCCUGAGGAGGGAGAAAUCUCUGUGAGUCCUGAAGAUGUUGACAUGCAAGGGGAGUCAGACUAGCAUCUCAAAAUUCUGAAAACACCCAGGAACCUGACUGGAUGGUGAAGUGGCUGCUGACGGAGGUGGAGUCUCCCCCAGUUUACAAACUUUUUGUUCAUUUUCUUCUACCUAUCCAUAACUCUUCAGUGUGCAAUGGUGAAAAAAUCUCAAGAUCAAUAGGGUCCAGUAUCAGCCUGCUGGUCAAAGGAGCCCGUUCUGUCUGUUCUGUCGAUCCCAUGGCAGAAGACUGGGAGAAGUUCCUGGGAGGCCCUGAAAGCCUCCUCUGCACGCUCCUUCCCCCAGUUGCUGCUUCCUCUGAGUGC